RNAcentral lists this ribosomal RNA (497 nucleotides) under uncultured bacterium. RNAcentral describes it as "partial 16S ribosomal RNA". It matches the Rfam family "Bacterial small subunit ribosomal RNA", at positions 28 to 507 of the family's 1533-position model. The record is from RNAcentral.
GAUGAACGCUGGCGGCGUGCCUAAUACAUGCAAGUCGAGCGAACGGACGAGCUGCUUGCUUCCCUGAUGUUAGCGGCGGACGGGUGAUUAACACGUGGAUACCCUACCUAUAAGACUGGGAUAACUUCGGGAAACCGUAGCUAAUACCGGAUAAUAUUUUGAAACGCAUGGUUCAUAAGUGCAAGCCGUUCUUGCUGUCACUUAUACAUGGAUCCACGCUGCAUUAGCUAGUUGGUAAGGUAACGGCUUACCAAGGCAACGAUGUGUAGCCGGCCUGAGAGGGUGAGCAGCCACACUGGAACUGAGACACGGUCCAGACUCCUACGGGAGGCAGCAGUGGGGAAUCUUGCGCAAUGGGCGAAAGCCUGACGCAGCAACGCCGCGUGAGUGAUGAAGGUCUUCGGGUCGUAAAGCACUGUUAUUAGGAAAGAAAAUAUGUGUGAGUAAAUGAGCGCAUCAUGACGGUACCUGAUCAAAAAGCCCCGGCUAACUACGUG